Molecule: transfer RNA, 75 nt
Filed under: bacterium
Lineage: Bacteria
Description: tRNA-Trp
Rfam family: tRNA
About the family: Transfer RNA (tRNA) molecules are approximately 80 nucleotides in length. Their secondary structure includes four short double-helical elements and three loops (D, anti-codon, and T loops). Further hydrogen bonds mediate the characteristic L-shaped molecular structure. tRNAs have two regions of fundamental functional importance: the anti-codon, which is responsible for specific mRNA codon recognition, and the 3' end, to which the tRNAs corresponding amino acid is attached (by aminoacyl-tRNA synthetases). tRNAs cope with the degeneracy of the genetic code in two manners: having more than one tRNA (with a specific anti-codon) for a particular amino acid; and 'wobble' base-pairing, i.e. permitting non-standard base-pairing at the 3rd anti-codon position.
Source: RNAcentral
AUGGGUGUAGUGUUAACGGCAACACGGGUGAUUCCAAACCACCAACUCUCAGUUCGAAUCUGAGCACCUAUGCCA